Molecule: long non-coding RNA, 293 nt
Filed under: Elaeis guineensis (African oil palm)
Lineage: Eukaryota; Viridiplantae; Streptophyta; Magnoliopsida; Arecales; Arecaceae
Description: long non-coding RNA (EGUI_LNC062681)
Source: RNAcentral
UCCCUGCAACAGAUUCCGUGUGACUCCACUACACUCUGGCAAGUCACGACAAUGGCCACCACUCCAUUCUCCGUAACCAACUCCACGUGACCCUGAACGACCCUUGGCACCACUACUCUCCGUAACAAACUCCAGGCGGCUCUGAACAGCCCACUGCCAGGUGGUUACAGGCGUCGCUGUCAAUCGGGUGCCCUCUCCUUCUAUAAAUAAGGACCCUCAGAUACAUUUUUCUCUAAGCUCUAAACUCUAUCUCGAAACUCUGCAAAAAUUUCUGCUCGAGCACUCCAUUUCUG